UGAGGGGAAGGCGCCCCUAGUACGAGAGGAACGGGGUAUCGUAGCCUCUAGUUUACCGGUUGUCCGACAGGGCACUGCCGGGCCGCCACGCUAUCGAGGAUAAGGGCUGAAAGCAUCUAAGCCUGAAACCUCUCCCGAAAAUAGGCA
RNAcentral lists this ribosomal RNA (147 nucleotides) under archaeon 13_2_20CM_2_53_6. RNAcentral describes it as "partial 23S ribosomal RNA". It matches the Rfam family "Archaeal large subunit ribosomal RNA", at positions 2732 to 2878 of the family's 2987-position model. The record is from RNAcentral.